CUCGUCUCCCUGCCUUCCGGAAUCCAGACGGGACAGGACCUCCCCCCGGGCUGGCGAGUCACAGACGCCUUUGUCCUUCCGGGUCUGAUGAGCCACUGGCAGCACGGCGUUCGUUUGGGGACCGCCGCUGUGCCGCCCCCUCCCCUCCCUGCCCCCCAGCAGCCCCCACAGCCCUGCACCCGCGUCUGCACGGAGGGCCUGGCCGCCCGGGCCUGGGAUCUGUGGCCCCGCGGGGCCCGUCACAGGUCAGAGCCACCGGCACAGACGGGGCCUCACUCUCGUGCCCUCCGUCCCUGUGUGGAUGGAGUCCAGCUGUGUGCGGGGUGCACGUGGGAGUGAGCGUGAGCGUGAGCUUACGUGCCGGGUCAGGUGCUUCUGUCGAUCCUGCAGGGAGCAUAACGAAGACGCACACUCACGUGGCUCUUGCUCACCAGGCGCUGUGCCAGCAGAGGGACAGAAGAUGGACACGCGGAUGGACAGACGGGCAGACCUGCUCCAGUGUUCACGGAGGCAUCGCGCACGGAGCAGACGGACAAGCGUGUGCAGUGGAGAAAGGCCUGUUUCCUGAGCUCGAAUCUUCCCUCCUCGGAGCCCGUGCGGUUGUUCGAACACUGGGUGAUGAGACCAUCGGGCUCGUUUUCCCGGGGCUGCGCUCGAGUGGGACCGAGCCCCCGGCAGCUCAGCCCGCACGCGGCUUCCCACGCAAGGAGCCGCCAAAACGAAGCCGCCAAGCGUCUCCCCCGGACCAAGCGCGAGCGCCCUGGGUCUGGUCGGGGCAGCCCACAAACCAGGGACACCGCCCCGGCUCUGCUGGCGACCGGGACCGGGCAGAGGGGAAGGUGGAAGCAGAAAUCAUCCCUUCAAUCAUUCAUUCCUUUGUUCAACUCAUAUUUGGUGAAUCCCUAGCUUGAGCCACACCCCAUUUCACACACUAAAGCACAACCUUGAGUAAAACACACCAAACUCCCAUCUCUCCUGGAGGUUAUAUUCAAGGGAUGGGAACUUUAUCUAAGAAAAUAUAGUGUCAGCUGGUGACUGGAGCUCCGGGUCGGAGGAGGAGGGGGAGGCAGGGCUGCUGGGUGCAGUUGGCCAGGUUGUGCACUGCCCAAGUCUGGCAGAACAGUCCCCAUCAGUCAUCCUAGAGUCCCACCCUCACAGGGAUGGUUUCCCAGCAGAUGGCAGUAACAUGUCUGAGGAAGGGCCUACCUGUAAUUUGCCCAAGGCCACCUCCUGGGCUCACAGCAGUGGGAAGAAGGGGGUCCUGCCAGGAUGACCCAGAGUUGCAACUGUCACUUCCAGGCAGCUCUGCCCCCCUCAGACAGCUCCUAACCAGGGCACCGCAUGUCUCGGCCCCCACGCAGACUCAGGAAGGGCCAUGAACUCGGCUGUUCUUAGCGCAGACAGGAACGUGGGGACAGCAGGUGCUGGAGGUGAGUCACUGGGAAGGUCGGGGACAGUGGAGACCUGGACAGGGCCUGUCCCCUCAGGGCAGUGACCUUCAGGUUAUACCAACACACCUGUGCCAGCCAGGCACACCUGUCAGGGGCUCCUGCAGCCCUGUACCCCGAGUGCUGCCCCUGGUGAUGGUCGCAUCUCUUCCGUUUCUCCUGAGGCCUCUCCCCGCAGGGACAAGCUCCUCCGUGAAUGCGGGGUCCCGGGGAGGCUCCCAGAUGCCACGCGUCCCGGUGCCGGCCCCAGGGGUCCCACUCAGACGCACAGGGUGAAGGUCCCUGUGUCUCUGGGUCUGAGGACGUCUGUGACUCCGUGUCCGGCUGUGCGGGCACAGAGCGUCUCUGAGGCUUGCGGUAUUUUCACAAAAACUCCUCCCCAAAACUUAUGAGCCUGAGAGCAACACAUUCAUUUCUGUGACACAGGAUGAAAUAAGGGGACAUUUUUCACGUUUCUGUUUUA
This 1911-nucleotide long non-coding RNA is filed under the name Felis catus (domestic cat). RNAcentral describes it as "lncRNA (ENSFCAG00000045108.2)". Lineage: Eukaryota; Metazoa; Chordata; Mammalia; Carnivora; Felidae. The record is from RNAcentral.